UACGGAGGGUGCGAGCGUUGUCCGGAAUCAUUGGGCGUAAAGGGCGCGUAGGUGGCGGCUUAAGCGUGCGGUGAAAGCUCGGGGCUCAACCCCGAGUCGGCCGUGCGAACUGAGUCGCUUGAGCACUGUAGAGGCAGGCGGAAUUCCGGGUGUAGCGGUGGAAUGCGUAGAGAUCCGGAAGAACACCGGAUGGCGAAGGCGGCCUGCUGGGCAGUAGCUGACACUGAGGCGCGACAGCGUGGGGAGCAAACAGG
This 254-nucleotide ribosomal RNA is filed under the name uncultured bacterium. Its description in RNAcentral is "partial 16S ribosomal RNA". It matches the Rfam family "Bacterial small subunit ribosomal RNA", at positions 524 to 776 of the family's 1533-position model. The record is from RNAcentral.